UUACAAAAAUUUAGUCGUCGUCUCUCGUACAGCUCUUGAAUAGUUUAACUUCAACUCUUGCUGGUAUUCAGUGUUCACCAGAUUUUAGUUCUGAGCCAGCCAUCACCGUCAACAUCAAGUUUUGCACUUCAUCAUUCAACCCGUCAUCAGCAGCAGUGUCAGCUUCAUCAGCUUCAUCAAUCGGGUAAACAGCCACCGGUUUGAUGGGAGAAUGCAUCAAAGAUUCAUCUCUUCUUCCCCCUUUUUCUUUAAAUCUCUUUGUCCUUGUGUACACCCAUGCGAGUGUGGGAGUAUUCACGAGGACACCCUUUUUCCUUGUUUCGUACCUGGUGUUUUCAACUUUUCUGCGGAAGGAGCACUUGGGAAAGAGCCUGGCUGUAUUUCCCAGGCUCAAAGGUAGGGCACAUUAUCACUA
Molecule: long non-coding RNA, 415 nt
Organism: Daphnia pulex (common water flea)
Lineage: Eukaryota; Metazoa; Arthropoda; Branchiopoda; Diplostraca; Daphniidae
Exons: 3
Source: RefSeq, a predicted model, not a curated record